RNAcentral lists this ribosomal RNA (253 nucleotides) under uncultured bacterium. RNAcentral's name for it is "partial 16S ribosomal RNA". It matches the Rfam family "Bacterial small subunit ribosomal RNA", at positions 524 to 776 of the family's 1533-position model. The record is from RNAcentral.
UACGUAGGGGGCAAGCGUUGUCCGGAUUUAUUGGGCGUAAAGAGCGUGUAGGCGGUCAGAUAGGUCUGUUGUGAAAACUCGAGGCUCAACCUCGAGACGCCGAUGGAAACCAUCUGACUAGAGUCCGGAAGAGGAGAGUGGAAUUCCUGGUGUAGCGGUGAAAUGCGCAGAUAUCAGGAAGAACACCCGUGGCUAAGGCGGCUCUCUAGUACGGUACUGACGCUGAGACGCGAAAGCGUGGGGAGCGAACAGG